Molecule: long non-coding RNA, 1670 nt
Organism: Sparus aurata (gilthead seabream)
Lineage: Eukaryota; Metazoa; Chordata; Actinopteri; Spariformes; Sparidae
Source: Ensembl
GUUAGAUACAUUAGUAGCUAUAAACAGUAAUUUAAACAUUAGAAAAAUACGUAUGUGGGUUUGAGUGCCUAUGUGUAUAGUAGAAAUAUAAGGAACAGGUAAUGUUUAUUUAUGCUGGUGAAAUGUUUGUAUGUUGUGUGUAUGUUGCAGUAUCAGUGCUUGGAUGAGGCUGUCCCGCGGGCAAAGCUUUUUAGACAAAGCCUGCAAGUGGGUGAGAUGGGGAUGAAGCUGGUGGACCGGCUUGUGAGGCAAAAUCGUGCCUUCAAGCAGCAGGCGGCAUGGUCCGCGAAGCGGGCUGAAACAAGAGAUAAAGCCAUCCAGCAGUUGAAGGCUGAUAAUGCCAAACUUAAAGAACAGUUGAUGGCAGCUCGAUGUGAGGUCACUGAUGCAGAAAUGCUACAGGUGGUAAUGGAGGUAGAGAAGGGUAAGUUGUAAAUGUUGUGGUUUGUUACAUUCACGGUUUGCCUUUAUAUGUGAGUGUAAUAGAAUUGUUAUAAUGUGUUUUCCUGUGUUGUUUAUGUUAUUUGUUGUAGGAGUGGUGGAGGUGUUGGAGGAGGUUAAGUUGUAAAUGUGGUAGUUUAGACUUGAGACUUUUAUUUAUCUCACAUCAGGGAAAUUAACUUGUCACAGUAGCAGGUAGACACACAUAUAGAUUUAUAAAUUUAAAUAAACUGUAAGAAUAUUGGCUUGUUGAGGUUGGAUGCAUAUAUAAAUAGUGUUUAAAUGCAGUAUUUUAAAAUAAACAGAGUCAGUGUAUGAAUAUGAAUAUGUACAAAAAAGAAAACAGUAUCAUUGCACAGAAUAAUUGCACAAGAUGGCGGAGGUAGAAGUGUAAGUAGUGCAAGAUAAGUAGUUGCUUAUGGUGUUAUGUUAAGUGUUAUAGGUGUUGAACAGUCUGACAGCAGUUGGAAUGAAUGACCUGCAGUAGAGUUUGUUUUUACACCGUGGAUGAAGCAGUCUGUUGCUGAAGGAGCUGCUUAAGGCCCCCACAGUCUCAUGUAGUGGGUGAGAGGGGUUGUCCAUAAUUGAUGUCAGCUUAGCUAACAUCCUCCUCUCACCCAUCUUAUUAAUGGUGUCCAGAGGAUAGUCCAAGACUGAAACAGCUGUUUUCACCAGCUUAUUUAGUCUCUUGUUGUCCGUCUUUGAGCUUUCACAGCUCAGAGAGGGACAGGAAGAGAGGCAAAAGACUAUAAUGAGAUUCUUUGUUUCAUUCAAGCUUUGCCUUUAUAUGUGAGUGUAAUUGAAGUAAUAAUUUAUUUGCUUGUGUUGUUUAUGUCAUUUGCUGUAGGAGGAGAAGGUGUGGUGGCAGGAGGAGGAGAAGAUGUGGCAGGAGUCUGAGGAGUUUGUGUUUGUUUUGUUAUUUGUCUUCGUUUAAUAAAUGUUGUUUACAUACGUGUUUGUCUCCUUGUGUAUACAACUUCUAUGGUGAUUAGGGUGUUAGGAAUUGUCAUAAGUGUUCACACACAAAACAGUGGUAAUAUUACCAUAUUGGGUAAAGAAAAGAAUAGCACUCCAGAGGUGUUAGUGUUAGCCAUUAGUUAUUUGUGUUUCUGAAAGAAGGAAAUUAAUUUUUCUGAUGUUGUAAUGUUGCAUAUGAGAGGUGGUUUGUUUUAUAAUGACAAAGUUAAAUUAGUAGUAUGUACAACUAUUUUCUUAUAUUGGUUAAAAUA